This is a non-coding RNA of Cinara cedri, 217 nucleotides long. Lineage: Eukaryota; Metazoa; Arthropoda; Insecta; Hemiptera; Aphididae. The record is from the annotation of a GenBank genome assembly.
CGAUAAUACAGUGAUCCACAGAUACUGUGCGAAGGAUUCACAUUUUUUUCAUCAUUUAUUAUGUAAAAACUACGAGGAAAAUAAAAAAAAUAAAAAUCGAUCUCCCGAUGCGUCUGUAACUAUAGAUCGAAAAUUCAACAUGAAAGUUCCGAUACAAUUUCCAGUUGCCAAGUUCACAUAGAUAACAUCUAUACGAAACCAUUAUGGUAAAACCAAC